AGUCGAGCGGAGAUGAGGUGCUUGCACCUUAUCUUAGCGGCGGACGGGUGAGUAAUGCUUAGGAAUCUGCCCAUUAGUGGGGGACAACAUUCCGAAAGGAAUGCUAAUACCGCAUACGUCCUACGGGAGAAAGCAGGGGAUCUUCGGACCUUGCGCUAAUAGAUGAGCCUAAGUCGGAUUAGCUAGUUGGUGGGGUAAAGGCCUACCAAGGCGACGAUCUGUAGCGGGUCUGAGAGGAUGAUCCGCCACACUGGGACUGAGACACGGCCCAGACUCCUACGGGAGGCAGCAGUGGGGAAUAUUGGACAAUGGGGGGAACCCUGAUCCAGCCAUGCCGCGUGUGUGAAGAAGGCCUUAUGGUUGUAAAGCACUUUAAGCGAGGAGGAGGCUACUGAGACUAAUACUCUUGGAUAGUGGACGUUACUCGCAGAAUAAGCACCGGCUAACUCUGUGCCAGCAGCCGCGGUAAUACAGAGGGUGCGAGCGUUAAUCGGAUUUACUGGGCGUAAAGCGUGCGUAGGCGGCUUUUUAAGUCGGAUGUGAAAUCCCCGAGCUUAACUUGGGAAUUGCAUUCGAUACUGGGAAGCUAGAGUAUGGGAGAGGAUGGUAGAAUUCCAGGUGUAGCGGUGAAAUGCGUAGAGAUCUGGAGGAAUACCGAUGGCGAAGGCAGCCAUCUGGCCUAAUACUGACGCUGAGGUACGAAAGCAUGGGGAGCAAACAGGAUUAGAUACCCUGGUAGUCCAUGCCGUAAACGAUGUCUACUAGCCGUUGGGGCCUUUGAGGCUUUAGUGGCGCAGCUAACGCGAUAAGUAGACCGCCUGGGGAGUACGGUCGCAAGACUAAAACUCAAAUGAAUUGACGGGGGCCCGCACAAGCGGUGGAGCAUGUGGUUUAAUUCGAUGCACGCGAAGAACCUUACCUGGCCUUGACAUACUAGAAACUUUCCAGAGAUGGAUUGGUGCCUUCGGGAAUCUAGAUAC
Molecule: ribosomal RNA, 980 nt
Filed under: uncultured Acinetobacter sp.
Lineage: Bacteria; Pseudomonadati; Pseudomonadota; Gammaproteobacteria; Moraxellales; Moraxellaceae
Description: bacterial SSU rRNA
Rfam family: Bacterial small subunit ribosomal RNA
Source: RNAcentral